This 464-nucleotide ribosomal RNA is filed under the name uncultured Pseudomonadaceae bacterium. Its description in RNAcentral is "partial 16S ribosomal RNA". It matches the Rfam family "Bacterial small subunit ribosomal RNA", at positions 338 to 794 of the family's 1533-position model. Lineage: Bacteria; Pseudomonadati; Pseudomonadota; Gammaproteobacteria; Pseudomonadales; Pseudomonadaceae. The record is from RNAcentral.
CCUACGGGAGGCAGCAGUGGGGAAUAUUGGACAAUGGGCGAAAGCCUGAUCCAGCCAUGCCGCGUGUGUGAAGAAGGUCUUCGGAUUGUAAAGCACUUUAAGUUGGGAGGAAGGGCAGUAAAUUAAUACUUUGCUGUUUUGACGUUACCGACAGAAUAAGCACCGGCUAACUCUGUGCCAGCAGCCGCGGUAAUACAGAGGGUGCAAGCGUUAAUCGGAAUUACUGGGCGUAAAGCGCGCGUAGGUGGUUCGUUAAGUUGGAUGUGAAAUCCCCGGGCUCAACCUGGGAACUGCAUUCAAAACUGACGAGCUAGAGUAUGGUAGAGGGUGGUGGAAUUUCCUGUGUAGCGGUGAAAUGCGUAGAUAUAGGAAGGAACACCAGUGGCGAAGGCGACCACCUGGACUGAUACUGACACUGAGGUGCGAAAGCGUGGGGAGCAAACAGGAUUAGAUCCCCUUGUAGU